UGAACGCUGGCGGGUUGCCUACACAUGCAAGUCGAACGGUAACAGGAAGAAGCUUGCUUCUUUGCUGACGAGUGGCGGACGGGUGAGUAAUGUCUGGGAAACUGCCUGAUGGAGGGGGAUAACUACUGGAAACGGUAGCUAAUACCGCAUAACGUCGCAAGACCAAAGAGGGGGACCUUCGGGCCUCUUGCCAUCGGAUGUGCCCAGAUGGGAUUAGCUAGUAGGUGGGGUAACGGCUCACCUAGGCGACGAUCCCUAGCUGGUCUGAGAGGAUGACCAGCCACACUGGAACUGAGACACGGUCCAGACUCCUACGGGAGGCAGCAGUGGGGAAUAUUGCACAAUGGGCGCAAGCCUGAUGCAGCCAUGCCGCGUGUAUGAAGAAGGCCUUCGGGUUGUAAAGUACUUUCAGCGGGGAGGAAGGGAGUAAAGUUGAUACCUUUGCUCAUUGACGUUACCCGCAGAAGAAGCACCGGCUAACUCCGUGCCAGCAGCCGCGGUAAUACGGAGGGUGCAAGCGUUAAUCGGAAUUACUGGGCGUAAAGCGCACGCAGGCCGGUUUGUUAAGUCAGAUGUGAAAUCCCCGGGCUC
RNAcentral lists this ribosomal RNA (591 nucleotides) under uncultured Pseudomonadota bacterium. RNAcentral's name for it is "bacterial SSU rRNA". It matches the Rfam family "Bacterial small subunit ribosomal RNA", at positions 30 to 610 of the family's 1533-position model. The record is from RNAcentral. Lineage: Bacteria; Pseudomonadati; Pseudomonadota.